AACACAUGCAAGUCGAGCGCCCCGCAAGGGGAGCGGCAGACGGGUGAGUAACACGUGGGAAUCUACCCAUCCCUACGGAACAACUCCGGGAAACUGGAGCUAAUACCGUAUACGCCCUUCGGGGGAAAGAUUUAUCGGGGAUGGAUGAGCCCGCGUUUGGAUUAGCUAGUUGGUGGGGUAAAGGCCUACCAAGGCGACGAUCCAUAGCUGGUCUGAGAGGAUGAUCAGCCACAUUGGGACUGAGACACGGCCCAAACUCCUACGGGAGGCAGCAGUGGGGAAUAUUGGACAAUGGGCGCAAGCCUGAUCCAGCCAUGCCGCGUGAAUGAUGAAGGCCUUAGGGUUGUAAAGUUCUUUCACCGAUGAAGAUAAUGACGGUAGUCGGAGAAGAAGCCCCGGCUAACUUCGUGCCAGCAGCCGCGGUAAUACGAAGGGGGCUAGCGUUGUUCGGAAUUACUGGGCGUAAA
This 467-nucleotide ribosomal RNA is filed under the name uncultured bacterium. Its description in RNAcentral is "bacterial SSU rRNA". It matches the Rfam family "Bacterial small subunit ribosomal RNA", at positions 50 to 564 of the family's 1533-position model. The record is from RNAcentral.